UGCGAGCGUUAAUCGGAAUUACUGGGCGUAAAGUGUGCGCAGGCGGCAAAGCAAGUCGAGUGUGAAAGCCCCGGGCUUAACUUGGGAAUUGCGCUCGAAACUACUUUGCUGGAGUGUGGCAGAGGAAGGUGGAAUUCCACGUGUAGCGGUGAAAUGCGUAGGGAUGUGGAGGAACACCAAUGGCGAAGGCAGCCUUCUGGGCCAACACUGACGCCCAUGCACGAAAGCGUGGGGAGCAAACAGG
Molecule: ribosomal RNA, 244 nt
Filed under: uncultured bacterium
Lineage: Bacteria
Description: partial 16S ribosomal RNA
Rfam family: Bacterial small subunit ribosomal RNA
Source: RNAcentral